RNAcentral lists this unclassified non-coding RNA (348 nucleotides) under soil metagenome. Its description in RNAcentral is "partial contains 5.8S ribosomal RNA, internal transcribed spacer 2, and large subunit ribosomal RNA". The stretch from base 1 to 119 matches the Rfam family "5.8S ribosomal RNA", at positions 35 to 154 of the family's 154-position model. The record is from RNAcentral.
GAUGAAGAACGUAGCGAAAUGCGAUACGUAAUGUGAAUUGCAAAUUCAGUGAAUCAUCGAGUCUUUGAACGCACAUUGCGCCCGCCAGUAUUCUGGCGGGCAUGCCUGUCUGAGCGUCAUUUCAACCCUCACGCCCCUAGGGCGUGGUGUUGGGGAUCGGCCAGCGCCCUCGCGGGCGAGGCCGUCCCCUAAAUCUAGUGGCGGACCCGUCGUGGCCUCCCCUGCGAAGUAGUGAUAUUCCGCAUAGGAGAGCGACGAGCCCCUGCCGUUAAACCCCCAACUUUCUCAGGUUGACCUCAGAUCAGGUAGGAAUACCCGCUGAACUUAAGCAUAUCAAUAAGCGGAGGA